AGGAUAAACGCUGGCGGCGUGCCUAACACAUGCAAGUCGAACGCUCUACGCAAGUAGAGAGUGGCGGACGGGUGAGUAACACGUGGGGAUCUACCGUGAGGUGAGGAAUACCGGCGAGAAAUCGCCGACAAGACCGCAUAGGCUCGAUGCAAGUCGAGCAAAGCUCUUUCGAGAGAGGGAGCGCCACACGAGGAGCCUGCGCCCGAUUAGCUAGCUGGUGGAGUAACGGUUCACCAGGGCGACGAUCGGUAGCUGGUCUGAGAGGACGAUCAGCCACACUGGGAUUGAGAACGGCCCAGACUCCUACGGGGGGCAGCAGUGAGGAAUUUUCGUCAAUGGGGGCAACCCUGAACGAGCAACGCCGCGUGCAGGAAGAAGGUUUUCGGAUCGUAAACUGCUUUUCUCGGGGAAGAGAACGGACGGUACCCGAGGAAUCAGCCCCGGCUAACUACGUGCCAGCAGCCGC
Molecule: ribosomal RNA, 466 nt
Filed under: uncultured bacterium
Lineage: Bacteria
Description: SSU rRNA
Rfam family: Bacterial small subunit ribosomal RNA
Source: RNAcentral